UGAACGCUGGCGGCGUGCCUAACACAUGCAAGUCGCACGAGAAAUCUUUAGCUUGCUAAAGAGAGUAAAGUGGCGCACGGGUGAGUAACGCGUGGAUAAUCUCCCUUCGAAUCGGGGAUAACAUUGCGAAAGCGAUGCUAAUACCGGAUAACAUCAUGAGUACCUCGGUAUUCAUGAUCAAAGGUGGCCUCUACAUGUAAGCUACUGUUUGAAGAUGAGUCCGCGUACCAUUAGCUAGUUGGUAGGGUAAUGGCCUACCAAGGCUACGAUGGUUAGCUGGUCUGAGAGGAUGAUCAGCCACACUGGAACUGACACACGGUCCAGACUCCUACGGGAGGCAGCAGUGAGGAAUCUUGCGCAAUGGGGGAAACCCUGACGCAGCAACGCCGCGUGAGUGAUGAAGGCUUUCGGGUCGUAAAACUCUGUCAAGUGGGAAGAAACUAUUUCGUGCCAAUACCACGAGAUACUGACGGUACCACUGAAGGAAGCACCGGCUAACUCC
RNAcentral lists this ribosomal RNA (502 nucleotides) under uncultured bacterium. RNAcentral's name for it is "bacterial SSU rRNA". It matches the Rfam family "Bacterial small subunit ribosomal RNA", at positions 30 to 504 of the family's 1533-position model. The record is from RNAcentral.